GUCCUCCCUUUGGCAGCACAUAUACUAAAAUUGGAAUGUUAGAGAGAUUAGCAUGGCUCCUGCACAAGGAUGACAUGCAAAUUCAUGAAGCGUUCCUCCAUAUU
Molecule: small nuclear RNA, 104 nt
Filed under: Dasypus novemcinctus (nine-banded armadillo)
Lineage: Eukaryota; Metazoa; Chordata; Mammalia; Cingulata; Dasypodidae
Source: RNAcentral